AAUAAGAGGUCCCGCCUGCCCGGUGACUUCCCCCAGUUUAACGGCCGCGGUAUUUUGACCGUGCAAAGGUAGCGCAAUCACUUGUCUUUUAAAUGGAGACCUGUAUGAAUGGCACCACGAGGGCUUAGCUGUCUCCUCUUUUAAGUCAAUGAAAUUGAUCUCCCCGUGCAGAAGCGGGCAUGCAACCACAAGACGAGAAGACCCUAUGAAGCUUUAGACACCAAGAUAGCUCGCGCCAAAUAACCCCUCUCAAGGGCUGAAGCUAAGUGAUUCCUAUCUCACUGUCUUUGGUUGGGGCGACCAUGGGGAAAUAAAAAACCCCCACGCGGAACGGGACAACCCCCCUCCUCCUAAAGCCCAGAGCUCCCCCUCUAAGCAACAGAAGUUUUGACUUACAUGAUCCGGCAUCGCCGAUCAACGGACCGAGUUACUCUAGGGAUAACAGCGCAAUCCCCUUUUAGAGCCCCCAUCGCCAAGGGGGUUUACGACCUCGAUGUUGGAUCAGGACAUCCUAAUGGUGCAGCCGCUAUUAAGGGUUCGUUUGUUCAACGAUUAAAGUCCU
Molecule: ribosomal RNA, 562 nt
Filed under: Pteragogus cryptus (cryptic wrasse)
Lineage: Eukaryota; Metazoa; Chordata; Actinopteri; Labriformes; Labridae
Description: partial 16S ribosomal RNA
Rfam family: Bacterial large subunit ribosomal RNA
Source: RNAcentral